Molecule: ribosomal RNA, 906 nt
Filed under: Candelabrochaete septocystidia
Lineage: Eukaryota; Fungi; Basidiomycota; Agaricomycetes; Polyporales; Irpicaceae
Description: partial large subunit ribosomal RNA
Rfam family: Eukaryotic large subunit ribosomal RNA
Source: RNAcentral
GCAUAUCAAUAAGCGGAGGAAAAGAAACUAACAAGGAUUCCCCUAGUAACUGCGAGUGAAGCGGGAAGAGCUCAAAUUUAAAAUCUGGCAGCUUUGGUUGUCCGAGUUGUAGUCUAGAGAAGCGUUUUCCGCGCUGGACCGUGUACAAGUCUCUUGGAACAGAGCGUCACAGAGGGUGAGAAUCCCGUCUUUGACACGGACUACCAGUGCUUUGUGAUGCGCUCUCAAAGAGUCGAGUUGUUUGGGAAUGCAGCUCAAAAUGGGUGGUAAAUUCCAUCUAAAGCUAAAUAUUGGCGAGAGACCGAUAGCGAACAAGUACCGUGAGGGAAAGAUGAAAAGCACUUUGGAAAGAGAGUUAAACAGUACGUGAAAUUGCUGAAAGGGAAACACUUGAAGUCAGUCGCGUCGUUCAGAAAUCAGCCUCGCUUCCGCUUGGUGUACUUUCUGACUGACGGGCCAGCAUCAGUUUCGGUUGCGGGAGAAAGGUCAGGGGAAUGUGGCACCUCCGGGUGUGUUAUAGCCCCUGGCUGCAUGCCGUGGUCGGGACUGAGGAACUCAGCACGCCUNGUUGUGCUCAGGAUGCUGGCGUAAUGGCUUUAAAUGACCCGUCUUGAAACACGGACCAAGGAGUCUAACAUGCCCGCGAGUGUUUGGGUGGUAAACCCGAGCGCGUAAUGAAAGUGAAAGUUGGGAUCUCUGUCGUGGAGAGCACCGACGCCCGGACCAGACCUUCUGUGACGGCUCCGCGGUAGAGCGUGUAUGUUGGGACCCGAAAGAUGGUGAACUAUGCCUGAAUAGGGUGAAGCCAGAGGAAACUCUGGUGGAGGCUCGUAGCGAUUCUGACGUGCAAAUCGAUCGUCAAAUUUGGGUAUAGGGGCGAAAGACUAAUCGAACCAUCUAGUAGCU